CCCUUAGAUGUCCUGGGCCGCACGCGCGCUACACUGAUGCAUUCAACGAGUUUAUAACCUUGGUUGAAAAGCCUGGGUAAUCUUUUGAACUUUCGUCGUGAUGGGGCUAGACCCUUGCAAUUAUUGGUCUCCAACGAGGAAUUCCUAGUAAACGCAAGUCAUCAGCUUGCAUUGAUUACGUCCCUGCCCUUUGUACACGCCGCCCGUCGCACCUACCGAUUGAAUGGUCCGGUGAAAUCUUCGGAUUGAGACUUUGAUUUCUUCACGGAAAACGCUGUUUUAAGAAGUUGAUUAAACCUUACCAUUUAGAGGAAGGUGAAGUCGUAACA
Molecule: ribosomal RNA, 329 nt
Filed under: uncultured eukaryote
Lineage: Eukaryota
Description: partial 18S ribosomal RNA
Rfam family: Eukaryotic small subunit ribosomal RNA
Source: RNAcentral